RNAcentral lists this ribosomal RNA (484 nucleotides) under uncultured bacterium. Its description in RNAcentral is "partial 16S ribosomal RNA". It matches the Rfam family "Bacterial small subunit ribosomal RNA", at positions 30 to 507 of the family's 1533-position model. The record is from RNAcentral.
AUUGAACGCUAGCGGGAUGCUUUACACAUGCAAGUCGAACGGCAGCGCGGACUUCGGUCUGGCGGCGAGUGGCGAACGGGUGAGUAAUGUAUCGGAACGUGCCCAGUAGCGGGGGAUAACUACGCGAAAGCGUAGCUAAUACCGCAUACGCCCUACGGGGGAAAGCAGGGGAUCGUAAGACCUUGCACUAUUGGAGCGGCCGAUAUCGGAUUAGCUAGUUGGUGAGGGAACGGCUCACCAAGGCGACGAUCCGUAGCUGGUUUGAGGGGACGACCAGCCACACUGGGACUGAGACACGGCCCAGACUCCUACGAGAGGCAGCAGUGGGGAAUUUUGGACAAUGGGGGCAACCCUGAUCCAGCCAUCCCGCGUGUGCGAUGAAGGCCUUCGGGUUGUAAAACACUUUUGGCAGGAAAGAAACGUCGCGGGCUAAUACCCCGUGGAACUGACGGUACCUGCAGAAUAAGCACCGGCUAACUACGUG